GACGAACGCUGGCGGCGUGCUUAACACAUGCAAGUCGAACGGAAAGGCCCUGCUUGCAGGGUACUCGAGUGGCGAACGGGUGAGUAACACGUGGGUGAUCUGCCCUGCACUUCGGGAUAAGCUUGGGAAACUGGGUCUAAUACCGGAUAGGAGCCAUCUUUAGUGUGGUGGUUGGAAAGUUUUUUCGGUGUAGGAUGAGCUCGCGGCCUAUCAGCUUGUUGGUGGGGUAAUGGCCUACCAAGGCGGCGACGGGUAGCCGGCCUGAGAGGGUGUACGGCCACAUUGGGACUGAGAUGCGGCCCAGACUCCUACGGGAGGCAGCAGUGGGGAAUAUUGCACAAUGGGCGCAAGCCUGAUGCAGCGACGCCGCGUGGGGGAUGAAGGCCUUCGGGUUGUAAACUCCUUUCGCUAGGGACGAAGCUUUGUUGUGACGGUACCUAGAUAAGAAGCACCGGCUAACUACGUG
RNAcentral lists this ribosomal RNA (466 nucleotides) under uncultured bacterium. Its description in RNAcentral is "partial 16S ribosomal RNA". It matches the Rfam family "Bacterial small subunit ribosomal RNA", at positions 28 to 507 of the family's 1533-position model. The record is from RNAcentral.